GGUCAAACAGCCGUCGCUAAAAUAUGUAAAUUUGUGGGGGUUUUAACCCCCUCUAUCAAUCAAAAGAAUAUAGCUCAAAAUUAAUUUCAUGUUCCCCAUUUUUUUAAUUGGCCAUCGAAAAAUAAGUGCAUUUUCCCCCCAAAACCCUCUCUCAUUUUUCCCCCAAACACGCACCUCUCUGAUUCUCCUCUCAAAAUAAAAUCAAUUCUCCGAUCGAUUUCACUCCUCAAAUGGGUUUCUAGUACUGAUUUUGAUUUCUUCUUUGAAAUAUCUACCGAUUUUAUUCUGUAAGUGAAUUUUAAUUUUGUUUCUUUCAUUCCCCCAAAUGGGUUUCUAGUACUGAUCGAUUGCAGAAAUAAGGACCCUUUUUCAUCCCAUCAAGUUUAAGUUGCAUAUCUCAGGUAAAAAAUUCACAUAUUUCUUCAUACAGAGAAUGUUACUUUCUAUAUUUACUGAUUCUUCAACUCUAGUACACCAUAUGUUCUUUUUUUGUACUGCUCUAAGAUGAGCAUCUUUUGAAAACAUCAUCGCUACAUCCAUCGAGGUAGGAGGAUGCUUGGCGUAUAAUCUGGGAUCCCACCCGCGGAACUUCACCAGAUAUAUUUAAGACCACAAGAUUUAAGAAUGUUUUGACACAAUAUAUGUAUCUUUAGUUCUCAAUGAGUCAUAAAAUACUUAAUAAGACUUUGAAUUCUAUGUCUAUUGUGAUUUUAGAAAUACAGUGAAACCAGAAAUAGAAACAAAUUUUGGCCUUAUAUAUUUGCUUUUGUAUUCACAAUUAAUGAUGGAAUAAUAUAAAUUAAAUUAUUGUUAAACAAGCAAUUUGUUGGAUUUUAGAUUUUAUGGUUGAAAUUUUUUGAUUUGUGAUGUGACAUUUAUCAUACAUAAUGCAAUUUGUUUUGGAGCUUGGUGAUUCUAAUCCCAAUCCUAGUAAGUCUUUUUGGUAGAUUAUCCACAUAUUCAGAACAAUAUCUCUUCACAUGACCUCCAUCACUAGAAGUCACUCUUCUGAAUUUGUUGCCAACCUUCUCUGCUGGAAAUAAUUCUCAAUUGUUGCCUAACAAUUUUCUUAGUGUUUGUGAUUUUGGAGAAAGUCCAGUACACAUAUGAAUCAGGUUCAGAAAUUUCAUCGAGUCUUUGUUUGAAUCUAAAUACGCCAGUAGAUAGUCAUCCUUUCCUAUUGUGUGUCAAUUGGUUUAUAAGAUAAAUGGGCUCCCACCUAAUUAGAUUAGUCUUUUGGGUUGGGCUCUCCUCUUAGUCUAUGACAUAACCUCUUUUUGUUGAAGUGAAGAGAUUUUCUAUUGUGUGAUGGGGUAUGCAAAUGGAAAAUGAAGAAAAAGGAAAAAAGACAUCGAGGAACACUAGUACUCUUUAUCUACCUGCUUGCUUUACUUGGUGGAAUAAAUUGAUAUAUUGACUUAACUCCCUUGAGUCUGCAUUCUAUUGGAGAUUUAUGUUGAGUGGGGAAGUUUUGGGAUUUAUGUUUUCCAAAGAAGGAAAGAGGAGAAGUCCAAGAGAGAAAUCAUUGAAUUUCUUAGUGUUCACAUAGACUUCCUGUAUAUUAUUGAUUCCACAUGUUAUUGUUAUCAUCUAUCUAGGCCUUAUAUUUGUUGUACUUGAGAAAUAUCAUUAAUAAUUAUUUGUGCUCAUUGCCUUGACAGGUUAAGAAUUUAGUUUUCUUAGGAGAACCUCAUGAUGGCACUGCUUCAGUUCCUCUAUGUGGUGUAAGUGUUUGUAUAGUUUGUACUAUCAUUUGCUAUUUAUCCUUCAAGAAGACUUACAAUUGUUUUGGAGCUUUGUGAUUCUGGAUCCCACCAUACUUGUUUCUUGUCAGGAUGUUCUAUUAUGCAACUUUGAAAAUACUGCUUACCUAAAAUAAAUAUAAUUUCCCUUCUAAUGACAAAAUAAGUUUUUUAGACACCUAAAAUGUAUUUACAGUUCACAUAAACUUUACGGUGAAAUUUCUUCGUCUUUUUUGAGAAAUUCCACCUCUAAAAUAGAAACCCAAAGAGGCUAAAUAGCCUAUUAACGCCUAAAUGUUAUUUUAUGAUUGUCGCAUGUUUGGAUAAUACAAUCACUUAUCCAAAGUUCUGGAAAGAACAUAUGGUCAAUUAGAGGUCGUAAUGACUAAUUUGUCCAGUUUCUUAAUCACUUUGAUUUUUUUCUUGAGAAAUAUCAGUGAGUUUAGUGCAAAUAUAGAAUUGCAGAGUCAAAAGAAUGUACGCUGGAUAGAAAUGCUAUAGGAUUAGUGCGAUUUGAUAUUAGUAAUAUGCUCCUUCCUUUAUGAGUGACAUGGAUAUCUUCCAUCAAGCCUUGAUUAAAGGGACUUUGAAUGUUCUUAUUCAGGAAUCCUUAACUUGAAUAAUGGUACAAGAUAUUUGGCUUGAUAUUGAAAUCCUUUCCUUGUAAAGAUUUAAUCACCUUUCCUGUUUAACUUUGGAUGACUGUUCCCUUUAUUGUUUUUCAUUGUAUAAUUUUGGGUGACUGUAUCCUAAUCAGUUUUCUAUAGAUAGUGUUUUUUCUUCUCAAGUUUGAAAAUGAUAGAGCAAUUAACUUUGCAAUGACCAAGAGGUCUGUCUCAACUCUCAAAGAAACAAGUGUUUGCAAUGAGUAAUUGCUCAUAAAAUCCAAUUCGAUAGAUGCUUUCUACAACACGAAAAUACAAGAUAUAAUCAAGGUGGAUUACUUUGAUUUUCACCUUUAGGUAAUCCUUUUGUCAUUGAAGUUGCUCGCAUCUAUCGUAGCUAUCUUUCUCUUUUUCUUUCUAUUUCUUUUUCUCUUUCUCCUUCUUGAAACAUCAUCUAAUUUUCUUGAUGGGCUACUACAAACUCUAAUCAGAUCAACGUUAUGAGAUUUAUGUUCCUUUUGAACUGUCAUUGCUGCUUGAUCUACCUCUAGUGGUUUCUCCUCAUAUUCUAAAUACAGUCCCCCAUUUAUGGCAAUGUCAUACUCAGCAGAUGCCCGUGAACAGCCAAUUUUAGUUGUUACUGCAGUAUCUUUUGGCAGAACUGGAAAGAGUUUGGGACCUUGCAUCGUUCGUUGCUUCCUUCUCCAUCUCUUAUUUUUGGUCUCAUACUCGAGGCAAACUCCCCAACAUAUUUCCUAUUUGAUCUUUGAAGAUACCUCAAAAAGCCAAGUGAUGUGGCUAGUGGACUCAUUUCGCCCAUGGAUGUAAGGAGACCGCGUGAUGAUAGUGAUCCUAACAAUAUUCUUUGAUUUUAUUGCAUUUGUCUUAGAUAUUCAAUUAUGACGAUGUAAUUGUGUGGUUGGAGUGAAUCUUAGAAUAUUGAAGGUUUUGUGUUUAAAUUUGAUUUUGAAGUUUGAAGAUACUAGUUAAUGUUGAAAAUUUGGAGUUUGAAGAUGUUAA
Long non-coding RNA from Capsicum annuum, 3367 nucleotides. RefSeq lists it as uncharacterized. The transcript is spliced from 2 exons. The record is from RefSeq and is a predicted model, not a curated record. Lineage: Eukaryota; Viridiplantae; Streptophyta; Magnoliopsida; Solanales; Solanaceae.